RNAcentral lists this ribosomal RNA (700 nucleotides) under uncultured bacterium. RNAcentral describes it as "partial 16S ribosomal RNA". The record is from RNAcentral.
GGGGAUAGUUCAAUAAAGGGGGAAUGGGGCUCUAGAUGCUGCUCGAGCGGCCGCCAGUGGGAGGGAAUCUGAGAUUUCUCCCUUCUGGGCUAAAUAUUGAGUCGAGAGGAAUUUAAUCAAACGUGGUUACGGGUAUGAAAGAUGAAUCGAGCGGCCCUUUGGCCAGUAAUAUCACAAAAAAACUUCUGCUGUGACCGAGUAACUCUUGACGGAAAAAACUUUGCAGACCAUUGUCUGAGCCUGAAAUUGAGUAAAUUGUUGGGGGCUCAAGGGACGCCAAAGACUGUGAUCUUAGCUGAUUUGAGAGGAUUAGCCUCCCCAUGAGGACUGACCACGGCCCACUCAGAUACUGAAGGCAGAAGUGGGAUUCGUGGUGUAUGGUGGAAACUCUGAUGCAGCAGUGCCGCGUGAGUGAAGAAACCUUUGGGAUGUAAGGCUCUUUCGUCCGUGAAUAAAUGAAUGUACCCAAAUGAAAAGGCUCGGAUAACUUCGUGCCAUCAUGCGCGUAAUAAAAACGGACCUAACGAUUUAGCAAUAACUGACCUGGCUGAGAUAGUACGGGGUUCAAUGGAUAUAUGGCGAAGUCGAGACUUUCUUAGGGAUUUGCCUUACAACUUUUCAGCUAGAGUAAGAUAAAAUAAGCGAAAAUAUCCAGGGGUAGUGUUGAUAUUCCGAAUAUAUUGGGAGUUAAUACCAAUUU